GGGAUUACAGGCAGUGCAUCACCAAACCUGGCUAAUAUAAGCAUGUUCUUUUUGGGAAAAUGGGAAAGAUUGUUUUCCUAACCUCUGUGAACCACAGCUACCCACAUAAGUGCCUCUGGAGGGGAAGCUGAUGAAGAGAGGGGGCCCUUCGCCUGAUCAGUGACCAAAUCUGCAAAUGCCGAUCACAUGGAAAACACCGCGCCCUUGCCAGUGUGCAUGCGGCCUCUAGCUUUUGCUCUUAUUAGCUAGUGUUGACCAGCGGUACAAAGCAAACAUUGUGAAAUGCUUAUGGAGUUUAGAAAUGCUGCUGCGCUCCUCGAAUGAUGGUAAAGUUGCAGAUCUUACAGUAAGAGGCUCACAUAGGAGAGCUUUGUUCAGUGCUGCAGGGAAAGCUUCCCAGAAGGGCUACUGAGGAGUUCCGGCUGCAGCGCCUGGGGAACAAACGUGCGCCUCCUCGCACUGCUCCACCUCGGGUCCUGAAGAGGUUUGGGCUGCCAGCAGAGGGAGAGUGAGCUCCGAAGACGGUGAGAAGGAACUUGCGGGUGUUGCUUUGGCCCAGAUCCGCGCCCUGAAAUGUGCAAGUGUGCAGAUUUGUGCUUCGUGCUCCGUGCAGCGGGGAGCACACAGGCUUCCAGAGGAGCUCGUUAUCUUUUGUCUUCUCUACCCCAGAAGGAAAGUGGUGUUUGGAAGACAAUUAGCCGCUGAGAGGUUGUAGCGGCAACGUGUGAAAAAUGUUAAAAGGAAAACCUAUAUUUAGCCUUCCUUUCAAAAGUUUUCCUGACCCGUUUGUGUUCCCGAAAUAAUUUAUCAUAAUUGGCAGACAUGCGGACCAAAUGGUUUAUAAUUCGAAGGGUUUUGUUAUUUGCCCUUUGCUUUUUAAAUAUGCAACUUUGGUUUCCGUACCUUUUGUUUUUCUUGUGACUUAUUGACAUAUAUUAUUAAUCAGUGCAAUCGGUUUUUAAAGUGUGUAUUAAAGUGAAAGAAACCCAGUUUACAGGUCAGAUUACAGAAAGAAAAGCUAUGCAGGAGUAAAGAUGAGCUUAUCUCUGGAAAUAUUUUCUGGAAAACAAUGGCAUAUGCAAAACUGUGUUAUCCACACGAAUACUAAUAUAUCAUAUGUGUCUUGUAUAUUGACAUGAAUAUAUGUGUGGGGUGUUGUUAGGGUCUUUCAGACAGAAUCAUUGUAGCCACUGCAAGCAGUUUAACCAGUGUAUUUUAAGUACACAUAUUUUAGGUAUUUUACAUUUUAAAAUACAAAACAGGAGAGAGAAUUUACUUACUUGAAAUAUACAGAAAAAUCUUUUUUUUUACAUUUAGGAUACCACAAAAACCAAUGGGCUUAAAGUAGAAGAAUAUUUACUUUUUAAGAGUGGACCAGGGAAAGAGAGCUGUUGGACAGAAUGAACACACUGUGACACUGGAGAGAAGCUAGAGGUGCUCUGUAUAAUUUGUUUUGUCAAGUCAUUCAGAUAAAAAAGAAAAAAUUGAUAUAAUGAACCUUCAUUUUUUGAUGGAAUUCUUGAAAGAAUAUGUUGCAAUAAAACUUCGGUUCAUAAGUACUUCUGUUUGUAAACAAUCUGUAUGUAUGGUGAGGAAACAGCAAAUAGAAGUGUGUGACAAAAUUUUCCAUUCAUGAACUCCACACUGCGUGAUGAACACGACUGUGGCCAUCUUCCCUGGAAUCAUGGAGUGAAUUAGAUUAGCAAGCUGAGUGGACAUACAAGAAGAAAGUUGUGUGGUCAGGAUUUGGACCCAGGAUUGUAUUUCUUCAUCUUCAAAACAAUGACAUCAGCAUCUAAGGACACUCUAGUUUUAACAUCUAAUUUUAUGGUAUUGGCAUCCAACAGGACUGUGACAGUAUUUCCAUCUCCAGUUAAUAAACCAAAGAAAUGAUUUUUGUAGUCAACAGACCUGUCAGUCAUAGUUUGUUCUUCACUGUGGUUGCAGGUAGUCUAGUCCAUGGUCCUUGACUCCAAAGCAGAAACAUCAUGGCAGAAGGGCAAGGCCAAGCAAAGCAGAGGACUGGGAAGAACACCAGGGAGGGAUAUAGCCUCCAAAGACACACAAGCAGUGACCCACCUCCUGUACCUGGACAGGUAUGGACAUCAGCUAUGGACAUCAGUGGAUUAAUCCAUUUAUCCAUAUAGUGUCCCCUGAUCUAGCAAGCUCUCUAGGAGUGUCUUAAUUCAGGCAAGCUGACAAAUUAGCUGGCACAGUGGGUAAAAUAAUUCAAUAUGAGUAUAUUAAUAGACACAGGAGCCCUUUUCCUCCCAAGAAGUCAGCUUGAGUCCAGUUUGAGAAAUACAGUCAUGCAAUCCUUACCAUACAUGAUGGAUGUAUCAGAGCACCAAUUUGACAGACGAGGAGCUGAGAUAACCUCACCUUUUCCAAGGUGCACACAUACAAAGUGACAGCCCCUUGCUGUAAGCCGUCUGUGCCUGAUCCCCAAGCACUUUUGGUCACCCAUCUGUCCAUAUCCUGAGCUACCCUGCAGCAAGGCACCAGGAAGACCCAAAUACAGGGUGAUACAGGAGGCAGGGAUGGGGACAGAGUUAUUGCAGUGGCUCAACUGGGCCCCAGAGAGGGUCACUGACCUUUUGUUGUGCAGGAACCAUGCUUUUAAUCUUAGCAGAACAUGAAAUGUUUUCCAAUUAGCGAUUUUCUAGGCUUUGGCUGCAGCAGCCCAGUCUUUGUUUCUUCCGGACAUACAGAGGGGCUUUGUCUGAGGCUGGGAGCCAGCAGUCAUAUCCCAGAAGACCUCAGCAGACCCCUGCUGGGAAAGGAGCUCUUCCUGGGCAGAGGCGCCUCCCACUCCUGAAUGUGGUGGGGCCAGCGUGGUCGGGCUUUCUGAGCCUGGAGCUGCCUGGGCUGCCAAAGUCAGGACUCAGGACAGGGUGGAGUGGCAGGGCCAGAGAAGUCUUGUAAUUCGAAGAGUGCUCCAGUCUGUUUAAGGCCCAGCCAGCCACUGGACUGUUAAUCAAGUCACUACGUCAUGGUGGGAGCCCUUGGGGAGGAACAGAAGGAAACCGGGUGACAUUCUCCCUCAGUGAGAUGCAGCUAAAUACAGUCUAUCUUGCAAAGAGGAACACCAGCAGGCCAGCUAAUUUUGGAAGCUGUAACUAAAAAUCUAAAUUGCCUUGAAAGCGAGUGGUAAUCCGUGUCAGGUGCUGUGUUGCGAGCUGCUUGCCCACACUGUCACUGAAUCUUCACAACACCUAAGGAGGCAGGAAUGACUCUUUCAUUUAGAGCUAAACAGACGGAAGCUGGAAGAAGACAUGAUGUCAUUUCCUCUAAACGGUAAAGUUGGAAGUGGCACUUCUCCUCAAACAUCUGCUUUCUUUUGAAUACACUCGCUCAGUGACCGUGUGCAGUGGAACAGCUCUUUUCAGGUUCAAGAGCAGCAACUUUCCUUGGAGUCUCCACUCAGCCCACAUUUCUAGAUGAUCUUCAGUGGACGCUGGCCAGAGCCCGAUGUGGAAUCAGCAAAGCAGUUAUUUUCCCUUGUGUUAUUCUCUCUUGGGAUCGGGACCUGCAUGCUUGUUAAGUCCAUAUUAUCUUCACAUAAUAUUUUAUGCUCCUUGGGGGAGGGACCAUAACGAAAUAGUCGUCAAACCCCAUUAUUCUUAACAGGUUACCUUUAAAUUAAGGGCUGAUUUUAUGACAUGCACCUAUUUUAUAGGAGUCAUUUUAUGUAGUUCAUUAAGAGAUGACAUAGGCCCCCAAUUCUAAUGAAAACCUUUGCUUUGUAAGCGUGCUGUCACAUUGGAUGCUUCCAGUCUGAUCCAAGUUAUGCCACGGGGAUGAGAAUUAUUUGACCUUAUUUCAGAACUUUAAAAUAUGGACAAGAGAAGCAGCAGUUAUAAUUGAUUGUUUCCAGAUAGUUGAAUGGAAAAAACACUGCAGAGCAUCUCUCCAAAAGGGCCAGGUGUGGUUGUGCACACUUACAACCUCAGCACCGGGGAGGCUGCUGCAGGAGGAUCUUGACUUCAACACGAGCCUGGAACAGAGCAAGACUCUGUCUCAAAAGAAAAAAACAAAAAAACAAAAAACCAACCAAAUAAAAUAAAGUAAAACAACAGAAAGUAGUCUUCUCAAUGAGUUGAUAAGUUUUAUUUUAUAUCUCUUUAUGGGAUAGGUUUCUGUUAUACGUUCACUGACCAACUUCUGUGGUUUGUCACUUCCGCUGGGGAUAAUGAAUCUGUUACUUAUUUCCUAGAACAUAUGUGAAUGCUACUGACCUGUUGCCUCAGUUUGGGGCUGUAGCUUUACUCCUCAGAGUCUUAGUCUACUUUUUUUUUUCUUGCAAAUGCAGUAAUUACUCUUUUGAGGAAAGAUCUUGAGAUAUCUUGCUAAGCAUUUGGAACAAAAGUAAUUGAUCUCUAUUUCAGUACCUGAUACCAAAAUAAAUUUGAAAUGGAUUAAAUGUUGAAGUGCAAAAUAAAGUUGAUAAAAGUACCAGAAAAAAGUGCUAUUGUCUUUUUGGCCAGGAACUGGCCUUUCUAAAUUUGUUCUUAAACCGGGCAUGGUGGCACAUGCCUGUAAUCCCAGCACUCA
Molecule: long non-coding RNA, 4554 nt
Organism: Chinchilla lanigera (long-tailed chinchilla)
Lineage: Eukaryota; Metazoa; Chordata; Mammalia; Rodentia; Chinchillidae
Exons: 8
Source: RefSeq, a predicted model, not a curated record